GUUAGAAUCUGCCAUUUCUCU
RNAcentral lists this small nuclear RNA (21 nucleotides) under Arabidopsis thaliana (thale cress). Its description in RNAcentral is "snRNA_13442". Lineage: Eukaryota; Viridiplantae; Streptophyta; Magnoliopsida; Brassicales; Brassicaceae. The record is from RNAcentral.